Molecule: long non-coding RNA, 2326 nt
Organism: Lathyrus oleraceus (garden pea)
Lineage: Eukaryota; Viridiplantae; Streptophyta; Magnoliopsida; Fabales; Fabaceae
Exons: 7
Source: RefSeq, a predicted model, not a curated record
GUUUGGUCUUCCCCAAACGGCAGAAUCCACACAUACUACCGUGGUACUUACCAACCUCUUAAUGUCCAUUAAUAACUAGAUGCUCACACUAAUUGAUAAUAAAACCGAAUAAUACCACUGAUAAAUCAAAGUGAAACGUACAAACCAAGGGAAACAACAUUACGCUUCAUCUUCUUGAUUCAGUCCCUCAUGAAUGCUUAAACAAAGAAAGCCAUUUUCUGAACUCUCAACGGAAUAAAGAAAAACCUCCAAAUCCAAGAUCUGUUCUAAGUCUAACCCUAAAUCGGAGCGAGCAACCAACUACUCUUACGCUACAGAUUCAAACACAAGCAAACAAGCUCUAACGAUUCAUGAUUCAAUCAAAGCAAGUAAAACGAUUCAUGAUGGUAUAGCAGACAGAAAUGUAUACAUGUCACUGGUACAAAGCAGAAUAUGCAAAUCAACGAAGAGGGAAGUAAUAUAGAGCUCACCGAGAAAUAGGUUUUCCGACGAGCGUACCGGCGAUGUAACAGACUCUUCAAGAGUAACGGAGCUGGAAAAAGUUCUCCUUUAUCCCAGUGAUGGAUGCUCUUUAUAUAGAGCUUUGGAGGUACGAGGUUUCUCACUCCUGAGCUGGCAAAGAUUCCAAAAAUCCGUUAGGAUCAAAUCCUUUCUAGAUUUUGGUGUGGUCCCAGGAAUGAAGGUGGUGAAAUCUGUUUCUGUUUUGUCCAUAGUGAAAUCUUCAGAAUCAAGUAUCCUGUGUUGAGUUUCUCAUUUACCGCUGUGAAGGAUCUAUGUGUCGUGGUUUAUUUUCAUGGAGUCUGUCUACCAUUAUUUGGUCAAGAUUAUGCGCACAAUAGCGAUGCUCCUACCUGACUUUAAUGUUCGUCCAUCAUGGUUUAUAGCACAAAACAGGACUUCAACAUACGUAUCUGUUCUUGGAGACAAUGCCCAUAUUUGCUUGACAGAGUUAUGGAAAUUGCAGAGUUAAAACCAACUUAUAGGAUGCAUAGGUUCAGGAAUAGCUUGAUGUUCAAAGUUUGAAAUCAUUUUGCCUUGCUCCUUUGGCUGCUACUUGAAUGUGGUGAGAUAUUUUGGCUUUUGAAAAACUCCAGGUUUCAUUCAUCUUCAGUCACAACUUGGUAAGGCACACCUUUCGAAUGACUUUGUGCAUUUUGGUGGACUCUUCCUUCAUAUUCGAUGUAAAAACUCCUUAUCGUGAUCCUGUAAGUCACCACCAAGCCAAUCUAAAUCCAGGUCAAGAAUAUCAUUCGGCGAUAUUUGUAGCUUACUCGACAGCUGUUUUGGAAAUGAUGAGUCUAAGCUCAAAGUGACAGACAGAUUCUUUCUGGCUGGAAAUUUGGAACUGUUGUGCAAAACUCUUGCCAUUUUUUGGGACGAUGAGUCACAUAUAUAUUUUGCCUUGUAGCCCCUGUAUUGUUUCAAAUAUGUAGAAAUGAACUGUAAUUUGGAAUGGUUAAUGCAGGUCUGGCUGUUGUAAGGAUUGAAGUCAUGAUGAUGGUGAAUUCAUGAUGCUUGGCAUGGCUUUGUUGUUGUAGUGAUUCCAGGCUGGUGUAAAGCAGCAUCAUUUUGUCUUGUUUGGCCUUAGGUUCAUGGUUAUCAAGACAAACUGACUUAUGGCGGCAUGAAUAAUUGUGGACCAAGGUCUUUUCUUUACGUAUCAUGAUGCUGCAACAUGUAUGUACCUAUUUUAAGUCUGAACUCUUUUGGCUGUGGAUCCAAACCUUGCAUAUUUAGUGUUUCUGCAGGUCUUACUUAACUGAUGUGAUGAUGACAUUUGGUUCCGCGGCCGUUUGAGCUGCUAUGAAUGAUGAGUUUGAUUCCAACUUAACGGCUUUGCUUUGUCUAAUGGAUCUUAUCAUGAUUGCUUUCCCAUGAUGUACUUGGUAAUCUUGUGACCACUUGAUAGUGAAUGCAGGUACAUGAAACAUUGAUACAUGAUUUUCAAGUCUUGGCUUCUGUUUCAAUGAAGCGGCGGUUCACAUGACGGAGACCGAGCUCCAGUCCGUGCCAGUCUGUGCCUAGAAAUGCAUCUUUUGGAAUUUCUCAAGAACGAGUGUCCUGCUAUUCUGCAUCAACUAGUACAAUCCUAUUUCGACCUUAGGUGAUUCCUUGGAAUGUCCUGAACCAAGAGAAAGCAUGAGACUCUCAUGGUUGAUCAACCAAGUUGUUUUAAUCAUGAAUUUUUGUCGGUUUGUAAUGUUUAUAUCUUAGGCCAUGGCUCUCUGUCAUUCAUGAAUCUUGUCAGUGUAACUUGUAGUUUAUGCCCCUUAACAAUGGAAUCCAAUAAUUUUCACAUGAAAGAAAAUUGUUUCGUAUUGUCGAA